CGGGUGGCAGCAGUGGGGAAUAUUGGGCAAUGGAGGAAACUCUGACCCAGCGACGCCGCGUGCGGGAUGAAGGCCUUCGGGUUGUAAACCGCUUUCAGCAGGGAAGAAGCGAAAGUGACGGUACCUGCAGAAGAAGCACCGGCUAACUAUGUGCCAGCAGCCGCGGUAAUACAUAGGGUGCAAGCGUUGUCCGGAAUUAUUGGGCGUAAAGAGCUCGUAGGUGGUUCGUCACGUCGGAUGUGAAAAUCUGGGGCUCAACCCCAGACCUGCAUUCGAUACGGGCGAGCUAGAGUUUGGUAGGGGAGACUGGAAUUCCUGGUGUAGCGGUGGAAUGCGCAGAUAUCAGGAGGAACACCAAUGGCGAAGGCAGGUCUCUGGGCCAAUACUGACACUGAGGAGCGAAAGCGCGGGGAGCGAACAGGAUUAGAUACCCCAGU
RNAcentral lists this ribosomal RNA (437 nucleotides) under uncultured Actinomycetales bacterium. RNAcentral describes it as "bacterial SSU rRNA". It matches the Rfam family "Bacterial small subunit ribosomal RNA", at positions 342 to 791 of the family's 1533-position model. Lineage: Bacteria; Bacillati; Actinomycetota; Actinomycetes; Actinomycetales. The record is from RNAcentral.